This 501-nucleotide ribosomal RNA is filed under the name uncultured bacterium. RNAcentral's name for it is "partial 16S ribosomal RNA". The record is from RNAcentral.
UACCUUGUUACGACUUCACCCCAGUCAUGAAUCCCACCGUGGUAAGCGCCCCCCUCGCGGUUAGGCUACCUACUUCUGGUGAAACCCACUCCCAUGGUGUGACGGGCGGUGUGUACAAGACCCGGGAACGUAUUCACCGCGGCAUGCUGAUCCGCGAUUACUAGCGAUUCCGACUUCAUGCAGUCGAGUUGCAGACUGCAAUCCGGACUACGAUCGGCUUUCUGGGAUUGGCUCCACCUCGCGGCUUGGCUACCCUCUGUACCGACCAUUGUAUGACGUGUGAAGCCCUACCCAUAAGGGCCAUGAGGACUUGACGUCAUCCCCACCUUCCUCCGGUUUGUCACCGGCAGUCUCAUUAGAGUGCCCAACUUAAUGAUGGCAACUAAUGACAAGGGUUGCGCUCGUUGCGGGACUUAACCCAACAUUUCACGACACGAGGUUGACGACAGCCAUGCAGCACCUUUGUGCCCCUUGCCUUUUGGGCAUUGCCAUCUUUCGGUA